This 817-nucleotide long non-coding RNA is filed under the name Rattus norvegicus (Norway rat). RNAcentral's name for it is "long non-coding RNA NONRATT007384". Lineage: Eukaryota; Metazoa; Chordata; Mammalia; Rodentia; Muridae. The record is from RNAcentral.
GUCUUCAUACUUCAUAUUCACUCUUACACAAUAGGCCAUCUCCUCAGUCCUUGUAUAAACUAUAGUAAGGAGCUGGAGAGGUGGCUCAGCAGUUAAGAGCAUUUACUGCUCUUUCAGAGGACCCAUGUUUAGUCCUCAGCACCCAUAUAACAGCUUAGAACCACCCAUUACAUUAACCCCAGGACCUGGCACCCUCUUUUAACCUCCAUUGGCACUAAGCAUGCAUGUGGUGUACAGACGUACAGACAGGCAGGCAGACAAAACACAAAAUCUACUAGAGCUGAUCCCCAUUUAUGCAUGGAGUCCAUAUUGUAAAUUGCCUACUCAUUAAAAUUGGUGUGUAGCCCACAAAUCCAUGCUUGCACACAUGUCAAAAAGUCUUAGUGGCCUGUCGACACAUUCCCAGCUAAGGCUGAGAAGUCAACCCCACUUCUGGUUUUAGUUCAUAUUCUCUGUGUCCUUCCCAUGGUCUGUCUAGUGCCCAGUGUUCUGUGGCUUUUGGGUCUGUUGGCAGAGUUGCUGUUUAAAAGGUCUCUCCGGGCAUUGUGCUAGGAUACCUCAGAGCAGGAAGUCUGAGGCAUGACUAGUGGAGGAAGUAUAUUUGAUCAGCUUCCUGCAGCAUGCAGUAUGGCCGCACUGCUGUCUGAGCCUCGUGCUCAUGAGUCAGUGGGGAAAGGUAAAUGGCUCAGCUGGUAAUGGCUCUGCUCAGCGUGCCACUCUGAUCCCUGGAACCCAUGUGACAGAAGGAGAAAACUAACUCCCAAAAGUUGUCCUCUGACUUCCACACAUGCAAAUAAAUAAAGUAAAUGUAAUUAUA